RNAcentral lists this transfer RNA (88 nucleotides) under bacterium. Its description in RNAcentral is "tRNA-Leu". It matches the Rfam family "tRNA". Rfam says of the family: Transfer RNA (tRNA) molecules are approximately 80 nucleotides in length. Their secondary structure includes four short double-helical elements and three loops (D, anti-codon, and T loops). The record is from RNAcentral.
GCAGAAGUGGUGGAAUUGGUAGACACGCAAGACUAAGGAUCUUGUGCCUAUUGCUGGUGUGGGGGUUCGAGUCCCCCCUUCUGCACCA